This is a long non-coding RNA of Raphanus sativus (radish), 260 nucleotides long. RefSeq lists it as uncharacterized. The record is from RefSeq and is a predicted model, not a curated record. NCBI's taxonomy places the organism in Eukaryota, Viridiplantae, Streptophyta, Magnoliopsida, Brassicales, Brassicaceae. The transcript is spliced from 3 exons.
GUUAUAGGAGGACAAUUUAAAUGGUGAUAUAUAGUUGAUCAAAAGGAGAUAAUGAUCCAUGGUACCGUGAAGAAGGAACACCAAGAUGACUUUAUAAGUUUGGAAGCAACUGCGUUGGCUGGAAAUAAUCUUCAUUAGUUGAUGGAUGCAUUGAGGAAAUUUUCUUUUGGGUAAACUACACACAGCGGCAAGAAGGAGUAGAAUCUUUUUUUUUUGGUCAAGAGGGAGUAGAAUCUAUUAUUAUUAUAUACAUGGGUGGA